ACCCUCUCCGCUGCCGCCUCCCCUCGCCCACCUCGACGGCCAUGUUCGUGGGUGGGGAGAGGCCAGCCCGACCCUCGGACGGCGGGACUCGCGGGCUACUUUAGGAGGAAGAGCAAGCUCCAUAACAGACAGAAGUUUAAAUUGUCAUUCCCAACUGCUAAUCAGGAAGCGGAAGUUAAACUCUUAGCAAAAUGGCAGCACCUGGAAAGACAAAUGGAGCCAAACUACCUGGGUUCAAAUCCUGACUCCACCACACGCUACGGUUACCAAUGAUCCUGAUCUGCCCAAGGCUGAGGAGUUUCCCAGGAUAUGGGACUUUCACUGCUAAAACCAGGAUAGUCCCAUGCAAAGCAGCAUGGCUGAUCACCCUACUUGCUGCCAUGAGACUACCACCAUCCUCGAGGAUGAUAGAUCCCAAGGAGAGAGUGACCCAGUCAACAUCCAGCCCCAUCAGCAUGUGACUUAUCCAGCCCCAGUCCAGUCACCAGAUAAUAGCAAAUGCAUGAGUUAAUUCAGGUGAGACCAUCAGAACGAUCUAGCUGAACUUGUCUCAAAUUGCUGUCCUCUGUUGGAGUUUUUCUGCACAUA
RNAcentral lists this long non-coding RNA (588 nucleotides) under Homo sapiens (human). Its description in RNAcentral is "HSALNT0290613". The record is from RNAcentral. Lineage: Eukaryota; Metazoa; Chordata; Mammalia; Primates; Hominidae.